UACGAAGGGGGCUAGCGUUGUCCGGAAUUACUGGGCGUAAAGCGCACGUAGGCGGCUUUGUAAGUUAGAGGUGAAAGCCCGGGGCUCAACUCCGGAAUUGCCUUUAAGACUGCAUCGCUAGAAUUGUGGAGAGGUAAGUGGAAUUCCGAGUGUAGAGGUGAAAUUCGUAGAUAUUCGGAAGAACACCAGUGGCGAAGGCGACUUACUGGACACAUAUUGACGCUGAGGUGCGAAAGCGUGGGGAGCAAACAGG
Molecule: ribosomal RNA, 253 nt
Filed under: uncultured bacterium
Lineage: Bacteria
Description: partial 16S ribosomal RNA
Rfam family: Bacterial small subunit ribosomal RNA
Source: RNAcentral